CGUGGGACUGCGGAUAAUGGUCUUCAGAAGAUUUAUAAGCAAGUCACAACAUGGAAGAUUGAUUCUUCACGUAUAGAGCCAGCAAUUUCAGUUUUGUCUAAAGAGAAUGAUUGGAUCAAACUUGAAAAACCAAGAAAGGCUUUCCAGGAUACCAUUAGGUCAAUCUUGGUCACUGUGCAUUCGUUACACUUCCUGAAAAGAAAUCCAGAAUCUUCUGGCAGAGCUUUGUGGGAUCAUUUAUCUAAAGUUUUCAGUGUGUAUGAGCCCAGGCCUUCGGAAAAUGAUCUAGUGGAUCACAUGAAUUUUAUCAAUGAAAUUGUUAAGCGUGAUGGAAAAUUGGCG
RNAcentral lists this unclassified non-coding RNA (342 nucleotides) under Hevea brasiliensis (rubber tree). The record is from RNAcentral. Lineage: Eukaryota; Viridiplantae; Streptophyta; Magnoliopsida; Malpighiales; Euphorbiaceae.